GGCAAAAUUCCGCAAAAAGCUUCUAAACUACACAAGAGGCCCCCUCGUGCAGAUCAUGUGGUCGAAGGACAUAGUCAUUUCCAACAUAACUUUGCGUGAUUCUCCUUUUUGGACACUGCAUCCUUAUGAUUGCAAAAAUGUAACUAUCUCGAACGUGACUAUUCUGGCCCCCGUUUCCGAAGCUCCCAACACUGACGGAAUAGAUCCAGAUUCAUGCGAGGAUAUGUUGAUAGAGAAUUGUUAUAU
This 246-nucleotide unclassified non-coding RNA is filed under the name Hevea brasiliensis (rubber tree). Lineage: Eukaryota; Viridiplantae; Streptophyta; Magnoliopsida; Malpighiales; Euphorbiaceae. The record is from RNAcentral.